UACGAAGGGGGCUAGCGUUGUUCGGAAUUACUGGGCGUAAAGCGCACGUAGGCGGAUAUUUAAGUCAGGGGUGAAAUCCCAGAGCUCAACUCUGGAACUGCCUUUGAUACUGGGUAUCUUGAGUAUGGAAGAGGUAAGUGGAAUUGCGAGUGUAGAGGUGAAAUUCGUAGAUAUUCGCAGGAACACCAGUGGCGAAGGCGGCUUACUGGUCCAUAACUGACGCUGAGGUGCGAAAGCGUGGGGAGCAACAGGAGUUAGAU
RNAcentral lists this ribosomal RNA (260 nucleotides) under uncultured bacterium. RNAcentral describes it as "partial 16S ribosomal RNA". It matches the Rfam family "Bacterial small subunit ribosomal RNA", at positions 524 to 783 of the family's 1533-position model. The record is from RNAcentral.